AGGACCCUUCCAGAGGGCCCCCCCUCAAUCCUGUUGUGCUUGAUUCAGAGGGUUGGGUGGAGGCUCUCCUGAAGGGCUCU
Carlito syrichta (Philippine tarsier) is the source of this 80-nucleotide microRNA precursor. NCBI's taxonomy places the organism in Eukaryota, Metazoa, Chordata, Mammalia, Primates, Tarsiidae. The record is from Ensembl.